Molecule: ribosomal RNA, 251 nt
Filed under: uncultured prokaryote
Description: partial 16S ribosomal RNA
Rfam family: Bacterial small subunit ribosomal RNA
Source: RNAcentral
ACGUAGGAGGCAAGCGUUAUCCGGAGUUACUGGGCGUAAAGCGCGUGCAGGCGGUUCGGUAUGUUGGGCGUGAAAUCUCCCGGCUCAACUGGGAGAGGUCGUUCAAUACUACCGGACUUGAGAGCGAUAGAGGAAAAUGGAAUUCCCGGUGUAGUGGUGAAAUGCGUAGAGAUCCGGAGGAACCCCAGUGGCGAAGGCGACCUGCUCGGCCUUGCCUGACGCUCAGACGCGAAAGCAUGGGGAGCGAACGG